This is a non-coding RNA of Erythranthe guttata (spotted monkey flower), 400 nucleotides long. The record is from RefSeq and is a predicted model, not a curated record. Lineage: Eukaryota; Viridiplantae; Streptophyta; Magnoliopsida; Lamiales; Phrymaceae.
UUUUACCCUAAAAUGAAAUAUCAUAAUUAGUAACAAGAAUGUUUCAUCUUUAAGGUUAUUUGAACCAGAUUCAGACAAGUUUACGUCUCUAAGCGAAUUUCAGAAGUGCGAAUUCACGCUUGUCGAAGCAUUACGCCGAGUUACGCAAAGAAAGAGAAUCCUCCUCAGCAAAGUGGAGCAGCAUUCAAGUUAUCAGGACACUAUACAGCAAAUAAAUACAGUUGUCCAGUAUAUAACUGAAGCACAAGCACAAGGAGCAGAAACUUUACUCGAGAACGACGAUGAUCAUGGAAUCGAGUUAAGCAACGUGGAUAAUAUGAAUUUUGGCUCUGAUGAAUGCUCUGGUACUCUAAGGUAAAUGUUAAUACAUAGUUUAUUGCAUUUAGUGCCCCUGUAUAAU